UACGGGGGGGGCAAGCGUUGUUCGGAAUUACUGGGCGUAAAGGGCUUGUAGGUGGCCAACUAAGUCAGACGUGAAAUCCCUCGGCUUAACCGGGGAACUGCGUCUGAUACUGGAUGGCUUGAGUGUGGGAGAGGGAUGCGGAAUUCCAGGUGUAGCGGUGAAAUGCGUAGAUAUCAGGAGGAACACCGGUGGCGAAGGCGGGUCUCUGGGCCGAUACUGACGCUGAGGAGCGAAAGCGUGGGGAGCAAACAGG
This 253-nucleotide ribosomal RNA is filed under the name uncultured bacterium. RNAcentral's name for it is "partial 16S ribosomal RNA". It matches the Rfam family "Bacterial small subunit ribosomal RNA", at positions 524 to 776 of the family's 1533-position model. The record is from RNAcentral.